RNAcentral lists this ribosomal RNA (443 nucleotides) under Acropsopilio chilensis. RNAcentral describes it as "partial 16S ribosomal RNA". It matches the Rfam family "Bacterial large subunit ribosomal RNA", at positions 1852 to 2622 of the family's 2925-position model. Lineage: Eukaryota; Metazoa; Arthropoda; Arachnida; Opiliones; Caddidae. The record is from RNAcentral.
GUAGGACCUGCUCAAUGGAUUCCUAGAAUAGCCGCAGUCAACUGUGCUAAGGUAGCAUAAUCAUUUGCAUUUUUAAUUUAAGCUAGAAUGAAGGGUUAAACGACAAAAGAAACUGUCUCCAAAUACUAAAACAAAAUUAAAUUUCUCAGUAAAAAUGCCAGAAUAAAAGAGAGGGACGACAAGACCCUAAAAGCUUUAUAUAAAUAAUAUAUUUUACUGGGGCGGUAAAAAAACAAUUUAACAAAUUAAUUCUACGAUCCACAAAGUGUGAAAAUUAGACAAAGUUACUUUAGGGAUAACAGCAUAAUUUUAUUUUAAAGUUCUCAUAUAAAAAAAAGUUUAUGACCUCGAUGUUGAAUUAUUAAAUCUAUAGGGGGCAGAAAUUCUAUAAGAAAGUCUGUUCGACUUUUAAUAUAAUCCAUGAUCUGAGUUCAAACCGGAGA